Molecule: ribosomal RNA, 474 nt
Filed under: Gymnetron labile
Lineage: Eukaryota; Metazoa; Arthropoda; Insecta; Coleoptera; Curculionidae
Description: partial 16S ribosomal RNA
Source: RNAcentral
CUUUUUGAUUUUAAUUUAAAGUCUAGCCUGCCCUAUGAUUUUAUUAAAUGGCUGCGGUAUCUUGACCGUGCAAAGGUAGCAUAAUCAUUAGUUUUUUAAUUGAAAGCUUGUAUGAAAGGUUGGAUGAAAAAAUAAUUGUCUCUAUUUAAUUUUUUUAGAAUUUUAUUUUUAAGUAAAAAAGCUUAAAUAGUUAUUGAAGACGAGAAGACCCUAUAGAGUUUUAUAAAUGAAAAUAUUAAAAGUUUAAGUAUUUUAAAAUUUAUUAUUAUAAUUUAUUUAGUUGGGGUGAUUAAAAAAUUUAAUUAACUUUUUUUGUAUUUUUACAUUUAUUUAUGAGUUUUUGAUCCUUUAUAAAGAUUAAAAGAUAAAAUUACCUUAGGGAUAACAGCGUAAUUUUUUUUAAGAGUUCUAAUCGGAAAAAAAGAUUGCGASCUCGAUGUUGGAUUAAAAUAAAUUUCUGGUGUAGGAGCUAGA